This 398-nucleotide long non-coding RNA is filed under the name Equus caballus (horse). RNAcentral describes it as "lncRNA (ENSECAG00000044714.1)". The record is from RNAcentral. Lineage: Eukaryota; Metazoa; Chordata; Mammalia; Perissodactyla; Equidae.
CCACUGCCCGUGAGACAGCAGACCUAAGGGCGAAGGAAACGUGAGUGAGAAGGACAAACAUGGUCUUUGCCCCUUGAAGCUUCGGCUCGUAGGGGAUGUGGAUAUUAAUCAAAGAACGGAACUGAUAUCGUGAGCAUGCUGAAGGAAAGUUACUGGUGCUGUGAGAGUGUCUUGGGGUGGCCUGUUGCAGUCUGGAAGAGUAAAGCAGGGCUCCUGGGGCCUUCUAGCUGAGAUCUGAGGAACAUUCUCAAUGAACGAGGCCCUCCUCCUCAGUUUGGUUGUGCUGAGAUUUGACCCUAUCUGUGGAUCCAGUGGCCAAGAGAAGAGAGACGCCAGGAUUCUUGUCUGUUCCAGAUCAGUUUUGUCAAUUCCCAUACCGCGCUGGUAUUACAGAUUCG